UGAAAUGCAGUGAUGGAGAAGAGUACACAGUGCCUGACUUACAGGGAGGAGACGCCGGUGAUUGAGAGCGUUUCUAGGAUACAGAGCUGUCGAAGUUCACUCCGGAGCAGUUCCUUGAAUUCCUUAAGAUUGCCUUGUAAGGAAGCGUAGGGGAAACCGGUCACAGACCGUUAUUUCUGUAUAAAGUGAGAUAGGUAUCUGUCCAGCCAAAAGAGGGAAUGAAGCUCUUAAGGGGAACAGAUCAGCUUGUCUAACAAGGGUGGUACCACGGUCUUUUCGUCCCUUAC
Molecule: non-coding RNA, 287 nt
Filed under: Paenibacillus sp.
Lineage: Bacteria; Bacillati; Bacillota; Bacilli; Caryophanales; Paenibacillaceae
Description: T-box sequence
Rfam family: T-box leader
About the family: Uncharged tRNA acts as the effector for transcription antitermination of genes in the T-box leader family. T-boxes are found upstream of many aminoacyl-tRNA synthetase genes and some amino acid biosynthetic genes usually in Gram-positive bacteria.
Source: RNAcentral